UCCUUGUGUUUGCGUGUGUGCAUGCAAGU
RNAcentral lists this non-coding RNA (29 nucleotides) under Rattus norvegicus (Norway rat). The record is from RNAcentral. Lineage: Eukaryota; Metazoa; Chordata; Mammalia; Rodentia; Muridae.